UACAGGGGGGGCAAGCGUUGUUCGGAAUUACUGGGCGUAAAGGGCUCGUAGGUGGCCAACUAAGUCAGACGUGAAAUCCCUCAGCUUAACUGGGGAACUGCGUCUGAUACUGGAUGGCUUGAGUUUGGGAGAGGGAUGCGGAAUUCCAGGUGUAGCGGUGAAAUGCGUAGAUAUCUGGAGGAACACCGGUGGCGAAGGCGGCAUCCUGGACCAACACUGACGCUGAGGAGCGAAAGCCAGGGGAGCAAACGGG
This 253-nucleotide ribosomal RNA is filed under the name uncultured bacterium. Its description in RNAcentral is "partial 16S ribosomal RNA". It matches the Rfam family "Bacterial small subunit ribosomal RNA", at positions 524 to 776 of the family's 1533-position model. The record is from RNAcentral.